This 472-nucleotide ribosomal RNA is filed under the name uncultured bacterium. Its description in RNAcentral is "bacterial SSU rRNA". It matches the Rfam family "Bacterial small subunit ribosomal RNA", at positions 355 to 825 of the family's 1533-position model. The record is from RNAcentral.
UGGGGAAUAUUGGACAAUGGGCGAAAGCCUGAUCCAGCCAUGCCGCGUGUGUGAAGAAGGUCUUCGGAUUGUAAAGCACUUUAAGUUGGGAGGAAGGGCAGUUACCUAAUACGUGAUUGUUUUGACGUUACCGACAGAAUAAGCACCGGCUAACUCUGUGCCAGCAGCCGCGGUAAUACAGAGGGUGCAAGCGUUAAUCGGAAUUACUGGGCGUAAAGCGCGCGUAGGUGGUUAGUUAAGUUGGAUGUGAAAUCCCCGGGCUCAACCUGGGAACUGCAUUCAAAACUGACUGACUAGAGUAUGGUAGAGGGUGGUGGAAUUUCCUGUGUAGCGGUGAAAUGCGUAGAUAUAGGAAGGAACACCAGUGGCGAAGGCGACCACCUGGACUGAUACUGACACUGAGGUGCGAAAGCGUGGGGAGCAAACAGGAUUAGAUACCCCGGUAGUCCCUGAGCGGGCUGGCAAGGCGCAU